Non-coding RNA from Taeniopygia guttata (zebra finch), 14983 nucleotides. The record is from RefSeq and is a predicted model, not a curated record. NCBI's taxonomy places the organism in Eukaryota, Metazoa, Chordata, Aves, Passeriformes, Estrildidae.
CACCAAGUUUUAAUCAAUGGAGAUAAUCUCAGGGUCUAAUCAGGAGAGAUUUCCUGAUUCCCUAGUGAGGUCAAACUAUUCCCACACCAGAGCACGCCCCUAGUAUGAGGCAGCUCCUCCUCUACUCCGUGUUGUACCAGAACAGUAAAUGGGACUCUACCAUAUAUAAGGCUGCAUAUUUCCAAGAGCAUUCUCCACUGGCACAGCCUGUAGCAUGAAGGAAGUAUUUCUUUACUGCAGAUGAAAUAUAUUAGGAUAUAAGGACUGCUGGUGUUGAUUUGAUGAGUCCCCAGCUUGGGCCGCUCGGUGUUGAUGCACAGCCAUUUUAUUUACCAGUCUAUUAGCACAUGAGAGUACUGAUUUUGGUGAUGAACAUCCAGAGCCCAACAAUAAUAUAAAAUAGCAUUCUGUUAGCAGCACUGUCAUAUUUAGUUCGCAAUCAGUCUGCUUUUUCUGGUAGAGCUUUCAAAGAGCCAAACAUGGAGCAAUUUGUUGCAGAAGUUACACUGCAGGCCCACAUGUGGAAAGUCUUUAUUCUUUUUCCUUUGAUUACUAACCAAUUUCAGCCUCAGCAAACAUGACUCAAUAUGUAAAAAAAGUGCUUCUAAUAGGAAUGCUUAUAACAUACAACAGAUUAUACAACCAAAUUUACCUCCAAAGGUUUUGAAGUUGCCUAGCUACGGGAUUGGAAAGGUUGAGGAACUCCCUGCUGAAGGCAGGAAAUGAGGCAGAGGACUUGAGGACUGGAGCUUCAAGCUCCACCUGGUGACAAAACCUCAUCGUUGCCUUCACAGAUAACUGCGGAGAAAGCAUAGGGUACCAUGAAACGUUCUAAAGAUCGGGUGGAGUAUUGGCAGGAAAUGACAGUCAGAGCCAAAAGAAGCACAAGGAUUUUUGUUUGUCUGUCCAUGGGUUUGGCCGGUUGUUUUAGUUUUUAAAAACAUAAAAAUUACUUAAACAACUCAAGACACUAACUGGCCAUAGAAUGCUCAAUGAAAGUAAUGCUCAGCCACACCACCCCAUGCUGAAAAAUAUGUCUCCACAGAGGACAACAAUGUGACCAUAGUGACAAUAACUCAUGAAAUUACUCCACUCUUUAGGAAGGAGAUUUUUGCAUUAAUGAAGGAGAUAGAAUUCUAGUAAUUAUUAAUAAUAUUUUUAUUCAUAGCAAGGGUAUUUUGCACUUUACAUCAUCAGAUUCCUGGUGGGAUAGCAAUGAGAUUUUUUCCACCAAGUACAGCAAGAAACCCAAUAUUGUACAGCAAAAAAAGUUUGGUGAAAUGCCUAUUAUAUUUAUAAUAAUUUAUUUUAUAAAUAGGUCAAUAAGAGUUUUCCCUCAUAGCAAAGAAAAUAAGAUUUUGAAGGCUUUUGGACUGACCAAUUGGAUGUAAGACUGUGCAGAGCAAGCACAUUUUUCAGAGAAAUUACUGCUAGCUUUAGAAAAGAAAGCCGUAUUUUGGUGUAUUCUUCAUAUGUGGAGGAUGGCAUUCCAGGUUGUCUGGGUGAUAAGAAAAUAAAAAUUACACUAGAUCACAUUGAUAAUUAUAAAUGUAAUAUCUAUUCUGUCAAUAUCAAUGCUCCAGUGUUUCACAUAUUAGUUUUUAUUAAAAAAAUUUAAAAAUACAUAUUUUUUCUCCCAAGUAUAUGAUUUAAUAAUCAUCUAAUAUCUUGAUCUUUAUCUUCUGUUGGGUAUCUGAAUAUAUGUGGGUUUCAAGAACAGGCAAAAAUUUUCUUGAAAUCUUGUCAUCUUAGGUCCAACAAUAAGAAUAGUGAUACUUUGAUAUCUAAAAGAAGUUAACAAAUCUUAUUUGAUUCAUAAAGUGCCUUGAUACAGUGACAUUUCUCUGAAAUAUCUUAUUUAUUCUGAAGUUCCACUUUCAGUCUUGACUGCAAUCAGAAAAUCUGGUGUAAAUGGAAACACUUAAGUUAAUAAGGCUUAUCCACAGAAAGACCAGUUCAGAUUUAGAAGGGGAAGGCAUUAAUUUUGUUUUAUUCAGAUUGUCCUGACCAGAGUUUGGAAAUACUAGGUAACAAUAAAAUGACAUAUGGAGCUCGAGACACACCUGUAUGGAUAAAAACAAUAUUAAACUAUGUUUCAAAAGCACGCAGUUUCAAAGAAAUACUGACAAAAUUUUCUAUUUAUGUGAUAUGUUGAAGCCAUUUGUCGCACGGAAUGUUAUCACAUUCCUGCGUUUCAAUUAAAGAAAAGACUCAAAAAGUAACAUAUUUACAUGACAGAAAAAGAAUCACUUACUGGAAUAGUAUUUGCUGUUAAAUUCUUCCAAGGUUUCUUUGAAUUUGUGGUAUUUUAACUCUAUUUAGGGUGGUGCCUGGUAGUGGAAUCUGGCAUUGAGCUACUGUACUUAUGCUGUUCAUUAUGGAACGUACUGUGUUAAGGAUUGCAAUGUAAAGCAUGGGAAAUUGGGAACGGAUCUCUUACCAUGCUGGAAAAAAUAUGCAAUACAGGUUUCAGCAACAGACUUCUACUGAUGUGCUAGCCUAAACUGUUUACUAGACUGAUUUUGUAUAUAGAGGAGGUUAUAUUAUAUUAGGAGAGUCUUUUAGCAAUUUGCCUCCUCUUUAAUGCAUACCUGUAUCUAAAUGAAUGAAGCAAUUGCAAUAAUUUGUCUUGGUGCAGAUAUAAUUUAUAACAAAACAUCACUUUUUACAUUCAUAUUGCCAGGUAGAGCAAAAUAAGUUAUGAUGAUGGCAAAAAACACAUUAAUGUUGUACAACUAUAAAUACACUGGGGGUUUUUCAUAAAUAAAAGUCUUGCCAAGAAUUCACAAAUGAAUCAACAUUGCUGGAAUAUACUGAAAAAUUGUAGUUAUACAAAUACUACUCAGAUCUAGCUUUAGAGUAAAUAGUCAGAGUAUGAACUUAAGAAAAAAUAGGUUAAAUUAAGCAGAAUGGCUAUUCAUUCAGACACAACAGGAAGAGAAACGGGCUAAUACAGGAGGAUCUGCCAAAUAUCCCCAGUGCGUCACACAGCCGGGCAGCAGAGGGCUGUGCUGAAUUUCAAUGUAUUCUCCCUAGACCCACACUGAUAUCCAUGCCAGUCCCCGUAGAGCUGGAUUUCCCCUCAUGAAGGCCCACUGCUGCCUCAGAACCCCCAGGGACUCACACUGCGCCAUAUCCUUUAUAUUCAGGAAGAUUUAUUCUUUUUAGCCUUUGAAAAACGCAACCACAGAGCCCAGCCUCUACAGCUCAGUGCUGGGAACUGCAGAGCCCUGACUUUUAUGUAUGUUUUUCCUUUUACUGCUUUGCUUGCUGCUUUCCUGGGGCAGGAGCCACAUAACCCAGGCCUUGCAUGCAGCCAGUCUCAAAGGGAAGAGUGUGCCUGAGCGUUCCCGGACCUGCGUCAGAAAUGGCAUCUCACAGUGCUGGUGUGGACUCACACCGCUGAUGCACUGGCACUAUGAGGGAACCUCUGCUGUUAGCCCAAGGGAAAGCAGGAGGAGUCUAAAGUGAUCAUAUUUGAGCCUUGGGAAUUCAGAGUGGUCCCAGCUAACUGGAAGCUGGCAAACAUCCUGAUUUUCAAGAAGGUCAAGAAUGAGAAGCCCAGAAACUACAGACCUGUCAGUCUCACUUCAGUGCCCGAAGAGGUUAUGAAGAAGGUUAUUCUGGGAGGUAUUGAAAAACACCUGAAAGUGUUCAUUGGUCACAGCCAGCAUGGUUUCAUGAGAAGAAAGACCUGCUUAUCAAAGCUAAUUUCCUUUUAUGACAAGGUAACCCACCUCGCUGAUCAAGGGAAGGCAGCUGAUGUAGUCUUUUUUGAUUUAAGUAAAGCUUUUGAUACUGUCUCUUGGAGUAUUCUUUUGGAUAAAAUGUCCAGCGCACAGCUGGAUAAACACAUCAUGUCAUGGGUGAGCAACUGGCUCACAUGCCAAGUGCAAAGGGUUAUAGUGAAGGGCGUGACAUCAGACUGGUGACCUGUCACUAGUAGGGUUGUACCCUAGGCCUUUUGCUCUUCAACAUCUUCAUUAAUGGCCUGGAUGCAGGACUAGAAGUGAUACUAAGCAAAUUCACAGAUAAUACAAAACUGGGAGGAUCUGUUGACUCCCUCAAAGACAGGGAGGCCCUACAGAGAGACCUAAACAAAUUAGGUGACUCAGCAACCACCAAUGGUAUGAAAUACAAGGGAAAGUGCUGGAUUCUGCACCUGGAAUGAGCAGCCCUGGAUGCAUGGACAAACUGGGGAAUGAGAGGCUGGGAAACCGUGCCACAGAAAGGAACCUGGGGGUCCUGGUUGAUGGAAAGUUGAAUUUGAGUCAGCACUGGCCUGGCAGCCAGGAGGGCCACCUGUGUCCUGGGGUGCAUCAGGCACAGCAUCACAGCCAGGCAAGGGAGGGAACUGUCCCCUCUGCUCUGCACUGAGGGCAGCCUCACCUCCAGUGCCGGGGGCAGUUUUGGGUGCCACAGUAUAAGAAAGACAUGAAACUAUGAGAUAGUACCCAAAGGAGAGAAACAAAGAUGGGGAAGGCUUUGAGCAGCAGCUGUAUGAGGAGAAGCUGAGGUCAGCUGGUCUGUUCAGCCCACAGAAGGGGAGACCUCAUUGCAGUCUACAACUUCCUGUGAGUGGAAGCAGAGGGGCAGCCACUGGUCUCUUUGCUGGGGUGACCAUUGACAGGAUUGAGGGAAUGGUCUCAAGUUGUGUCAAGGGAGAUUUUGUUUGGAUAUUAGAAAAAUGUUCUUCACCCAGAGGGUGUUUGGGCACUGGAACAGACUCCCCAGGUAAGUGGUCACAGCCCCAAACCUGACAGAGCUCAAGAAGGUUUUGAACAAGUUUCUCAGACACAUAGUGUGGCUCUUGGGGAUGAUGCUGUGCAGGGUUAGGAGUUGAACUUGAUGAUCCUUAAGGGUCCCUUCCAACUCAGGAUAUUCAGUGAUACUUUGUUUCUGUGAAAGUGAAUGCCAUGGCCACCUCCAUUAAUUACAACAGCAGUAUUGACACAUUUUGUAUGAUACGGAAUAUACCUUCAGAAUCACAGAAGAGGGUAUGCAAUCCAUCCCUGUGCUUGGCCCAAGAGUGACUAUUGCAGUACUUUAGGGACCCAUCAGUAGCCAUAGACUACACUACAAUGAGCAAGUGUGCUUAAAUUGGGUAAGGAUUCAAGUUGGUUUAUGUUGUUCAUGGUGUCAUACAGGAAUAGAUAGCAACUUAGAAAUCCAACUUGUUAAGUGUUCUAGCUUCCUUAGAUUAAGAGUUUUGUAAGGAAAAAUGUAAAGUUCUAAAGCACAUUUUGAAAGGCUUUUUGUACAGCAUUGGUUUAAGUUUUGGUCAAACUGGACAUUUUAUUUAAGUAAAAUGGUUGUGCUUCAGAGAUCUAAAAUAACAGUGUAUUUGAUGAAUAGGCUUCCCUGACUCUCUUACUCAUCAUGUUAAUUCUCCUGUCAAUAGUUGUUUUUAUUCCUAAGAAGAGUGAUUUCAGUUAAUAGUAUCCAUUUUGCAUUUGAUAAUACUUGUCUUUUACAGAAUAAAACAGAAAAAUGGAAGCUCAACUAACCCCAAAAAUGCAUGUUCAUCUGCAUGCUACUGAAAAGAUUAUGUAUGUAGAACUCUGUAAAGUCAGAAAUUCUGCCAUAAUCACUUAAAGGUAUUAAUAAAAGACAUUAAUAAUUAUCAAUUUAGGAGUCCAAACCAGGAAAGAAGUGAAGAACAUUACAUCUAAAACUCUCAUUUAAAAGUAAAAAUAAUUAUUUUUAAAAUGAGAUUUUAAUCUACCCUAAUUAACUUAUAUCCUUAGUAACCACUGGCCACAUAUAUACAGAAGUUCUGCAGCAGUUUUUCUCAUACCAAAUAUACACACUUCCUCAGAAAAUGGAGGAAUGACUACUGGAUGAAGUCAGAAAAAGUUUAAAAUGCAGAAAUAUUUUCAGGCUCAGAAGUAGCUUACAGCCAUGCAGUUAGUAAAUGAGAAGCUUGCAAUUUCUUUACACUGUGUGAAUUAGCAGGUGCAGAGGCAGUCAGAUGGAAUGAUAGAUUUUUUAGAAUCAGAGACAAUCUAGCAAAUAAUACUACUCAAAAUACUGUAAUCCAGUCAUAUUGUUUUAAUUGGGCAACAUGGCAUUGUGAUAACAGAUGGCAACUCCAUGUGAACAGAUUCAGCCAGACUGAUAGCAUUCUGCCCCAGCUCCUCUGAAUGAACAGCUAAGCGCUCCCAGUUUAUAUUGCAAUAGCUUCAUUCAGAUUUCACACUUGGAUAGACACUGUGCCAUUAUGAAAGCAAAUACCAUUUAAGGCUCUAUGCAUGAGUGUAUGGAGAUUUCAUGGUAGUUUCCGUUACUGAAAGUUCGAGUUGGUCGGAGCUGUAAUAGUUCAGCUGCAUUAGAGUUAAGACAUUACUGGUAUCUGUCUACCCCAGCCAAAGGUUACAGUUCCUGGAUCUAAAUUAGCAGAAAUAACAUAUCUAAAUCUUAACUACUCCAUCUAGAUGGUGCCAGAUGACAUCUGUCUUCCACAAUGGUUUAUCCAAGGACACUGAGUGUUUUCAGCGGAAGUGCUGCACAUGUUCCCCUCUACUGACUCUGUGGUAACUCCUGGCAGAAAAAUGGGAUAGACAGCUGGAGGUAGAAACAUAUUUAAUUUCAGAGGAAGGAUUUUCCAAAACUUGAUUCCCAAAACUCUAAAUAUUAAUAGCUUCCUUCUAUAGAGAUAAGAGCAGUUUCUAGUGCUGCCCCUUUGGAGCAGGAAAUAUGUUAAUGGGGCACUUUUUCAAAACAUGCAGAAGCAUCAGCUACUGUGCUCCCCAUAACACUCUUCAUAUCUAUGCACUACACAAAACAACAAAGUAUGGGAAGGAUGGAACACAAGUUAGUCGUCUUACCCACCCGCAGGGCAUUACACACCUUGGGAUACAACAGCCUCAGCCAUUUGCUUCCUUCUAUUAGUAAUGUUCCAGGGGUGGGGGAGGAGAAAGAAACCAAAUGUGAACAGGCUCUAGCCAGCUCUUGUGCUCUGUGUGCUUUCUCACUCCCUUGCAAACUCUCUCAAGAACAAUUGUAAUCCAGCUGAAGUUUUUCCUGGCUCUUGCCUAAUUUAACAGAUGUUUACUAAUGGUUCUGGAUCACUAUUUACAUGCUAAACAGUUUUCUGUUAAUCUGAAAAAUUUUAGUGAAAAAAGAUUAUGCUGGGGAGGAGGUUGGAAAAAACUUCAAGAAAACAAACAAGAGAAAUCCCUAAAAUGGAAAAAAUAUUUAAUUCUCAGGAUGUAUAUAUGAUCAGUAACAAUUUAGCUGCUUCCAGAAUGACUUUCUAAUGCCCCGGUACUUAAAAUGCUUUUGUAGUACACUUGGCAGGCAAUACUAUGAGAAGAUCAUGAUGUACAAAACCACAUUAAUUCCAAACAUCAGGCUUUAUCUAUCUCAGCUGGCCCUUAUAUGGCCUGCCACACUAUAGUAGCUAAGCUCCUCACAAUCUUUUGGGUAUUUCUCCUCAAUGCUUUAAUGACAUACAGAAGUGCUAUAUUCUGCACGUUCUGUAAGAACGGUCUCAAGGGUGGCUAUGAACAUGAUAAUCACCCUUUUCUUACGUCUUCAGAGCAAACUUGUAAAGCUAUGAAGCUUCAGACAGCUGCUGACAGCCUUGUUGACUGUAACAAACCAAGAAUUAAAGCAGUUAGGUGACACACUGUGUACUUUUAAGGUGACUAUCCGGGUGUUCCAGGAGCCACACGAAAUUUCAGACCUACUUUCCACAGCCUCUUAUCAAAAUACAGGUGACCAUACUGAAGGCUGAAGGUCCUUAUUAGUCAAUGGAGCGUAACAGACAGUUUCAGGGCAUGAAUCAUCUGCUUGAAGAACAGAUGGAUCACACUCUUCACUGCCCAUUUAUCUUUGUUUGCCAUAGAAAAUCCAGAAAAUUGUUGGGAUAGAGAACUCUACAUUUGCUUAGACAUUCCCAUGCCCUAAUCUGGUCAUAAAAACUGCUAUUUCAAGAUCCACUGCUGUUGUCAGUCACCUGAAAAAAUAAACUACAGUCAAUAGGUAUGGCUAGGUAUUUUUGAAUAUAUCUAUACCAAAAUGAUUUGUUUGAGGUCUCACACAGUACAGACACAAAGUCUGCAUCUCACAAACCUCAGGUCAAAAUGUUGUCUAUUGAUCUGUCUUACCAGUCCGGUGGAAAUGAAUAACCAUUAUAAUUGCCACAAAUUCAGAAGUUGCAUAUAGAAGGUCAUUUUGUUAAAUAAAAAAUGUCUUACUGAUUAAUUGCAGGAAGGAAGUGAAAUCAUGUAUACCUCUACCCUAUCGAGCAGUCUAAAAGGAGUUUCAAGCUAUCCUUGUCUUUCACUGUCCUAUGAAAACAACAUCCUUAAAACUUCCUUAAAGAUUGCUCUCUUGCUGAGAGGAGGCCACAUAUAGGCUAGUGGGUGCAUGAAUGUAGAUUUUACUCUGCUUCUCAUUUUGGGUGUAUUAUACUUUGCUUGAAAAAGCAAUUUAAUUCAGUUGCUAUGUGACUUCUCAGAUAUCUUCCCCAUUGAACACAGAUUUUUUUCCACUUGAAGCUCAUAAACUACUACCUCACCUCCCUUUUUAUUUGCAAAAGUGCAAGGAAGGCACACACAUGAGAAACAAAAUAAUUUUAUGAGAUUAAGAAAAAAACCCCUGGUUUUAAAACUCUUAUUUAGACACAGUUUUCACUUAAAGAAGAAAAUCCUCCAAAAGUUGUGGUCUUCAUGAAGAUCAUCAAAAUGUGAAGGGAGUAUUAGAGAUGCAGAAGUGCUUGUAUUGCUUAAAGCUUGGAACCCCAGCCCUGAGAGAUUAACUGUCCCAUUUGCUCUUACCUCAUAUAGGACAAAAAGUUUUUUGAAGGACAGCACAUUGUUAUUUCAUCACUUAUCAAAGUAACAAAAGCAAGAAUAACAACAACCACGAAAGAAAGAAAAGAAAAAGGAUGUUUUAUUAUUAUGGUGACUUGUCAGAAAUAUUCCUGGACACCAAGAGUGAGAAAGAGAUGAGAUCGAGUACAGAGAUUGCCAGAGCUGGAUCUGAGUUAGGAGAGAUCAAUGUACUGCUGAUUUAAAUGCUAUGCAACAGUCAAAAGAUAAUGUUUGAUUCCUAUUUCAUAGUCUCAAAUUCUCACUCUGCUCAUUUUCUGUUAUGUUCUAUUAGACAGAUCUUCUGCCAUUUCAGCUCAAAAGAAAAGAAAUUCAUCUGGACUUUUAGGCCCUUUGGCUUUGGCACAACCAUGAAAUGCCAGGAAGGUGAGUAGGGUAUGAGUUCAUAGGUAGCACUGUCUCUGUUACACGUAUGGCUAAAAGGACCAGACAGGGAAAAAAAACCCCAAUAACAACACAUUGCAGGGUUGGAAUAUAAUAUUAUCACCCUUUAUAGAACUCAGGUUUUCAUACUUAGUAACACCUUACAGAUUGCAGCUACCAGCCUGUAGAGAACAGUUAAAAGUUUGACUCAAACACCUGUAGGGUCUCAGGUCCCACAGGUGGAAGCCUGGCAUUAAGAACACUGGAUCCCAUGAACAUACCUUUUGCUGAACUCUUCGUAGGGGAUGCCAUUUUUUUGAAAUCAGAAAAAAGAGAUGUAUUUUACUACAUAUCACAUCCAGCUGUAUUUCUCUCACUUAUGUUUGUAGGCAAGGAUAUUAACUCUUCCUCCUUAAUUGACAGUGUAAUUAUACAAUAAAAUACAGUUAAUUUUUAAGCUUUUGUUGGUAUUGCCAUUCAGUUGGUUAAAUUUACUUCAGACUAAAAAAAAAAGCCCCCCCAAUAAAGCUUUGCUAAUUAGCAGAAAAUGAAAUAUUAAUGAAUUUUAAGCCAGAUUUAUGCCAAUGAAAGCAUAAUCAAGACAUCAUGUAUUAGACACCCAAAACCCAAAGAGAUUACAUAAAACUGAUAUUAACUUAUUUUAUGUUGUUUUAUUUUUUUUUAUUUCAGAAAAUAUUUAUAGAAGGAAUAAGUCUUAUAAUAUAAUAAAUAAAUAUAAUAGAAGGAAUAAGUCUUCUUAGAAUACGAGAAAAUAGCAGUGCAUGAAUUGUAAUUUGCACUACUUAAAAUUUAUCAUAAAUAACCAUAUACUUUUCUAAAAUAUGCAAGAAAGAACAAGUUUAGCUUCUCUGUUAAAAAAAAAAAAAAGUCAAUUAAUUUUCCAUCCUACUCUUUUGAAAGAAAAUAUUAUAGGUCUAUGGAAAAAAUGAACGGGCAUUUGGCAAAACCUGGCUUCUAGCAAACUGGCAGCAGUUAUUGCAUUACUGAAACCCAUUCAUAAAUGUUGGCUGCUUCUUCCCUGGAAGAAUGCCAGGGAAGUACCCACCCUGGCGUCUCCCUUCCCAGAUACAUCAAUCCCCACUCUUAGGUCUUGCUGACAUACAUCAAAAUUCAUUCUAAAGUAGGCCUUUUGUGCCACCCCAACUAACUCUAAAACAGGGCAAGUAAGGACCACACCAACCCAUCUAGGCUGUAUUGGUGGCUUCAGGUAUCAGGCAGGUAUAUUUAAUUCUUUAUUUAUGUUUGCAGCAUGUAUUAAAAAGGUGCAAGACAGUAAAAAAUAGCAUAUGUCAAAUGCCUAUCAUCUGAAGAGCUCAGUAUUUCUUUAUAAUCAGGAGGAACAGCUUCUAUUCCUUAACUAGUUAAUUUUCUUCAAUGCAUUCAUGUUAUUCCAAUGAUGUGCUUAUGUAAAUUACAGAAAAUUUAAAUAUUUAGUAAAGACAGCCAAUAAUGUGAAUUUCCAUAAAUAUAAUUCUAAUCCUUUUUAGUACUCUAAUGCAUCAGUAAACACGGACAGCUGUUGAUAACAUAUAGACCUAUUCCACCCACACUCUGAGCAAGUCAGAUGUUGAGCGGCUCCCAUUUGGGAGUUCAAGCUAAUAGGCACAAUGCCUAAGUUAACAGACUUUGCUUCUCCCUCUGGCAUGUAUGCUCUCCUCACCACCACAUCCUGAUGUAUUUUGCCCACUCUCCUCAGGUGUCUAUCCAGAACAAGAAGGAGACUGUGUGGCCUAAGAAAUUAAUGAAUUAAUGCACCCUUACCAAGGAUUCUUUCUGUUGGACAGAAUGAUCUCUGUCAUAGUUGUUAUUAUUACUGUUGUUGUUAAUUUUGCAGUGAGAUUUGCUAAUCCCAAUAAGAAUCAUGGCUGUGGCACAGGCAGGCUUUAUGUUACAGACACGAAGCCAUGUAGCCUAGAAUUCUUAGGGUGCAUUGACAUCUCGUGGACAAAAAGAAUAUAACACAUCAGCUCCUACUGGCAGGAUAUUAUUAUGGCCAUUUAAACACUGUAUUUGAGAACGUAUAUAAGCUCAAGAAGCCUGUCUUGCUACUGAGAAGGCUGAGUAGUAUGCACAUCUUCUGAAGGAACACUUCUCUGUAUUUAUCUGUCUGGUUUGUUUAGGUACUUUUGCAGGCUGCAAAAGUAUAUGAUUUCUGUGCUGCUGCAGCAUUUUUACCCACUUAUACAAGAUUAUUCCAGAAGCAGUAGCAGUAUAUAGGUCCAAUAUAUAGCAUAAAGUGCGCAGGAACCCAAGAAAAUGCAGUUGUGGCAUCUUCAUGGUGAAACAACCAGAUGAGGCAAAGACCUCAGUUCAACCCUUGUGGAAGGGCAGACUACUGUUGUUCUUUACAAAUAAGUCAUUUUACUUACAGAAAUUAGUUUGUUACUCCAUAUUAUUAUUUAUUUCAUCUGAUGCAUCAAUUCCUCUCCUCUCUGUGGAGGAUAUCUCCAGAAAAUAAAAGAGAACAAUACAAAGCAGAUUCCAGUGGCUCCACAUUGGCUGCAUUUUCAGGUCUUAAUUUUAAAUAAUAAUUUUUAAAUGUCUUCUUUGCACCAGAAUGACUUAUCUUAUCUCAGGAUUAGUAAGGCAACUUUCAGUUACUGUAUGGAGAUAGUGGAGUCUCUGAAUCUUCUGCCAUGACAAAACCUAGAGCAAGAAUUUUAAAAAUUUUUAUUUUUUCCAGAUGACUGGUUGACAAGAUUUGGCCUGGGAGAGACUGUUACACAGUGAUGGCUCUUUAUUUUUGUUUCCCAUUAAAAAUCUUUAGAUUUAAAAUACCUAAAACUAAGUUUAGUGUUUUCUUAAUAAAACCUGUCCAUAGGAUUAAUUGCUAGAGUUGUGAUAAACAAUUGGUAGGAAAAGCAGAUUGCAGCCUCACCAGAGAACAAUUGUAAGAACAAUUUUAUCAUAACAUGCACUGAAUUGUUUGUAUGAAAACCAAGAGGAAAACAUAGGUCUUGCAUACUGCUCUCAUUAGCAAAAAAAAACCAAAACAAACAAAAAAAUAAAUUAUCUCAAAGCAUUUUGAUCCACAGCAUUUCAUCAAGAUUAUUACUGAGACCACUGUUGCGCUACAGAUGUCGAGACUAAACAUGGAGAGAUGAUGAUUUGUCUAGAAUAAUCCAGAAUAUUUGUGUCAAAGAGAAAUAGCAUCCUCAGUACCUCAUGCCUUCUAAGUACUCUUUUAUAUUUGUGGAUGCCCUUUCAAUCCCAUGUCUUGCAUGAGAAGCAUAAAUUCCUUCUUUUGGCCUCCACACGAUACUUUGCAACCAUUGCAACUGUGCUUUACAUUUUUGCAGCGUAUCUCACUGUUAGUCAUUUCUCACAGGCCAAGCACAGAAACCAGUCAGGUCUGUUAUUCUGGGUAGAAGACUGGUGUUGCAGCUGGGGAACAUGAUAAAUGCUGCUGGCUAGCAUCUUCAUCAAGUUUUUUGUCUUAUAUAAUCUGAAAGCCCAGAGCCAUAUUUAUCCAAGAGUUUAGCAUCCUUAUAACCCUGCCCUCUGUCCUGUGGUCUGGUGCUGUUGCACCAUAUGGUGAAGAUGUCCUCAUCACAAUAGAAAUAUAUUCAGUUGUGUUCAGAAGUGUUUCUGUUUUUGUGAACUUUACAUGCGUUUUGCUGAGUCACCAUUCUGGUUCUGUUUUCAUUGAGUUACUAAGUUCAGUCAGACACUGGAAGGGAAGUUUCAAACAUUUGCUCAGUCAUGUAAACUACGUAGUAUUCCUGCAAAGCGAAAUUUCAGAAUUUACAACUCUGUAGUAAAAAACCUGGGGGGGGGAAAGGAAACUAGCCCCCAAAUAAACUAGCUUUUAAGGGUUCAAAAUGCAAAUCAUCUUUCUUGGUCACUGCUAGUUAACAUCACAUUUUCUAUAUGACUGAACCCAAAAUAUUUACUAGAAGAGGCUGCAGUUAAUAUUAUACCAAAAAUUAGAUUAUAUUAGGAUAAGAUUUAUUACAAAGGUAUUACAUUUAUUACUAACAUUAUUAAGCCUAAUUAAUCUAGGUGUAAUACUAAACUGAUAAAUUACUUUUAGGAUCUGAAAUUAUAUAGUUUAAUGGUGCUAGAGCAUAAAAGCAUGACACUGACGUGAUUUCUGUUGUGGGGAACAAGUAUGUUUUAGAUAUUAUAGUAACUAGUAACUCUCUGAGUAAUUCCGACCAAAAAUCAGCCUACUAUAAUUCAGAAUUUACUCUUGGAAUGUGGCACCCCCUCAAUCACCAGCAUGUCUUUGAUUUUUAUGUUUGUUUGUUUGUUUGUAAAGGUUUUAAGUGUUUUACAAUUUGGAUUUGAAGUUUUUGCUAAGAGAAUUGUAAAACACCUGUAAUGUUGAUUUGCAAAUGUGUGGGGAGAAUCAAAUCAGUUAUUUAAAGUAUUUUUUAAAAUUUGAACAAAUUAACUUAAAACAUCUUUAAUUAUAUUUUGCAUCUUUCACUGUCCAAUUUAUUUUUAUUUUUAUUUUUAAACUUUUGGUGGAAAAUUAAGAGCUGGCAAUAUCAGCAUUUUCCAUGGUGUACAGAAGCUGUCCUGGGAUAAUAGCAAAUGUAGAACAAGUCCUCUGGGGUAAGGAUGGUACAACAGGGCAGUUGGUCACUCUAAAAACAUUGCCUGAUGUUCAUAUCUUGUGGGUCUGGGUGCACACUCUCCAUGACAGUGACUUCCCCCAAAGCUGUUGAUGCUUGGUAAGUAGUUUAGCUUUCUAAAGAAACAGGGCUGAUGUGACAACACGCUGCAUCCUUCUGCAAAGUUUUCUUCUUCCAGCAACUUUGUAAAGACAUAAUGGCACAAAGUCAUGCAUCUGAAUAUAGCAGUAAAGAGAUCUAAACCAGUGCAUCCCCUGAGAGACAGGCAGGCAGAAUCCAGCCCAUUGUAGAGACUAUUGACAGCUAAACAAAGAACACUUACAGGGAGCUUAAAAAACAUUAAUGGAUGUGGCCAGUAGAAUUUCUCAGAAGGAGAUCAGUAGGGAAUGGGAUAAACAAAUACCAUGGGAAGUGGAAGGAGCUGAGAAGGGGGCAGGCUGCAUAUGAGUAGCACAGACUGUGAAGGAAGCAAGGCUUGUUUUGUUUCCCUGAUUGAAUAACUGACUGGUUUGCUUCCAGUCCAUAUAGAUUAUGAGAAGUUUUGUGGCCUGUGUUACUGCUGAGAUCAGAGGUGAUGGUGGCUUUCUCUGCUGCUAAAAGCUCAUGAAUUGUGGCUGUUUGGUCUUUUGCAGUUGCAUAGAAAACGUGAUUUUUGUUUGUUAAACAAAAACAUAAUAUGUUUGUAAAAACAUAAUCUGUAGAAAACAUAAUAUGUUUGUUAAACAUAUAAUCAUAGAAAGCAUGAUUUUUGAUUGGACUAGUCUUUGUUUAUACUUCUAUAAUAGUGAAAGGUGUUAUGUCAGAGCAAGUGUUUUAGGGUAAUUUGUUUUUUGCUUGCUCUAGAAGGCCUCACUAGUGUACCUCAGCAACGGUGUUCUUUGCAAAGCAAAGGCAAUGCUAACACCAUGAUGUUAGCCUUACUAGAACUGACAGGCAUGCCAGUUAGCACCAUAUGGGAUUUUGUGAGGAAGGCAGCUGUUAUCACUGGGAAGUGUAUUGAGAUUACUAAACUCUCCUCCAAACAACCAUCAGUGAGUAAAGACUAUUGGCAGACAAAUUUGCAUGGACAACUGGGUUUUUAUUGGAUACAGCAAGACAGACAUAAUGAUAAGGAAUAAUUCAUCCUUAACUUCUCACUUUCAAAUUUCCAGCCUUUUGUCUCAUAACCAAUCACGCUAAUUA